RNAcentral lists this unclassified non-coding RNA (185 nucleotides) under uncultured Laccaria. RNAcentral describes it as "sequence contains ITS1". Lineage: Eukaryota; Fungi; Basidiomycota; Agaricomycetes; Agaricales; Tricholomataceae. The record is from RNAcentral.
UUGAAUAAACCUGAUGUGGCUGUUAGCUGGCUUUUCGAAGCAUGUGCUCGUCCGUCAUCUUUAUCUCUCCACCUGUGCACAUUUUGUAGUCUUGAAUAUUGCUUCCAAGACUAUGUUUUUAUAUAUACACCAAAGUAUGUUUAAAGAAUGUCAUCAAUAGAAACUUGUUUUCUAUAAAAAAUAUA